Non-coding RNA from Acanthosepion pharaonis, 116 nucleotides. The record is from the annotation of a GenBank genome assembly. Lineage: Eukaryota; Metazoa; Mollusca; Cephalopoda; Sepiida; Sepiidae.
UUACGGUCAAAUCACGCUGAAAACACCGGUUCUCGUUCGAUCACCGAAGUUAAGCAACAUAGAGCCAGGUCAGUACUUAGAUGAGGGGACCGCUUGGGAACACCUGGUACUGUAAG